UAGGGAAUAUUGGACAAUGGGUGAGAGCCUGAUCCAGCCAUGCCGCGUGCAGGAAGAAGGCGUUAUGCGUUGUAAACUACUUUUUGCCAGGGGAUAAAAAGACCGUGCGCGGUUAAUUGAAGGUACCUGGUGAAUAAGCCACGGCUAACUACGUGCCAGCAGCCGCGGUAAUACGUAGGUGGCAAGCGUUGUCCGGAUUUAUUGGGUUUAAAGGGUGCGUAGGUGGCCCUGUAAGUCAGUGGUGAAAUAUCUCAGCUUAACUGAGAGGGUGCCAUUGAUACUGCAGGGCUUGAGUACAGAUGAGGUAGGCGGAAUUGACGGUGUAGCGGUGAAAUGCAUAGAUAUCGUCAAGAACACCGAUAGCGAAGGCAGCUUACCAAGCUGUAACUGACACUGAGGCACGAAAGUGUGGGGAUCAAACAGGAUUAGAUACCCACGUAGUCCCUGAGCGGGCUGGCAAGGCGCAU
RNAcentral lists this ribosomal RNA (467 nucleotides) under uncultured bacterium. RNAcentral's name for it is "bacterial SSU rRNA". It matches the Rfam family "Bacterial small subunit ribosomal RNA", at positions 355 to 825 of the family's 1533-position model. The record is from RNAcentral.